This 253-nucleotide ribosomal RNA is filed under the name uncultured bacterium. Its description in RNAcentral is "partial 16S ribosomal RNA". It matches the Rfam family "Bacterial small subunit ribosomal RNA", at positions 524 to 776 of the family's 1533-position model. The record is from RNAcentral.
UACGAAGGGGGCGAGCGUUGUUCGGAAUCACUGGGCGUAAAGCGCACGUAGGCGGCGCGUUAAGUCAGGGGUGAAAUCCUGGAGCUCAACUCCAGAACUGCCUUUGAUACUGGCGUGCUAGAGUGUUGGAGAGGUUGGUGGAACUCCGAGUGUAGAGGUGAAAUUCGUAGAUAUUCGGAAGAACACCAGUGGCGAAGGCGGCCAACUGGCACAUUACUGACGCUGAGGUGCGACAUCGUGGGGUGGUAACAGG